RNAcentral lists this long non-coding RNA (2008 nucleotides) under Solanum tuberosum (potato). Its description in RNAcentral is "long non-coding RNA (STUB_LNC010312)". The record is from RNAcentral. Lineage: Eukaryota; Viridiplantae; Streptophyta; Magnoliopsida; Solanales; Solanaceae.
UUAAAUCGAAGCUAUAUAUUUCAAAUAAACUUCGAGAAACAUGUCUUGUACAACCAAUACUUAGAAAUUGAUUGCUUAAAGAUCUCUACUAUCAAUAAAUUCCACAAAACCAAAUGCAUUCAAACAUAUAUGACAAUAGUACAAAAACUCUUCGUCGUUCACUACAAUAGAUCGAGUUUACUUCUGGCCACAAUUCAAAUUCAAUUACCGGCAUUUUCCUGCACAUUUAAAAUAAAAUUAUAAGUUAGUGAAAUAAAUCAUGUAUUUAAUAUGCUUAAAUUCACAGUAAGCCAAACCAAUUCAUAACAAUAAAGUUGUGGAAGUGCAUAUAAGGUUGACAGAUAACUAUAGACAACACUGCUUGGAAUUCUAUUGAUGAAGUAAAAAGAUGCUAAAACACACUGAUACUAGAACUUUACAUCAUAUACUGAUUUAUAGCAACUGUUUAGCAUAGUCAUUAGUACUCUUGGAUCCAUUCUGAUGACUCCUAGUAGAUAGUGGUACAUUAGUGUUCAAGCCAUAUGUGAAGGUUCCUUUAGCUUGUAUUUCAGUACCUACAUACGUUUGCACAUCUAUCAUAUCAUAGGCAGCCCAGAUGCCUCACUAUAAGUUUUUUUCUUAGACUUGAAGUCAGGUGGAUAGCUUAUUAGUUUGAAACAUUGUCCUUCCUAUGUCCUGUGAAUCUGCAGAACUCACACACCAACUCUUUCCAGAAUUUCCAACUCUUUCGAAGUUAUAGAAAAGCUCAACUCUUUUCAAAAUUUCCAGCACUGUAUUAUAGCGCAAUAGUUGAAUUUCCAGAAUUUCCAGCACUGUAUAAUAUUGCAGCAGCAAAGUUUCCAGAAUUUCCAGAACUGUAUAAUAUUGCAGCAGCUUAGUUUCCAAAAUUUCAGGAUUUUCCAGAAUAUCCAGCACUGUAUAAUAUUGCAGCAGUUGAGUUUUCAGAAUUUCCAGCACUAUAUAAUAGCAGAUUGCAACAGCUGAGUUUCUAGAAUUUUCAGAAUUUCUAGAAUUUCCAGAACUUCCAGUACUGUAUAUACUGUAAACUGAUUCUAUAACCUGCACAUACACAAUAUCCUAGCAGGGAAGCUAAAAACACAACUAAACUGAUUCUAUAACCUGUACAACCAUUCAGAUGAGCAGUGGCAGCCUGUGCAAACAGUAUAAGUUGUUGUCAUGGAUUCUCUAAUUCUUGGUGAUCAGUUGUACUCUGGAGGGUAAGUCCAAAACUAACUUUUUAAAAGUAACUUAUAUAGUCUGUAAAGUUCAGUUCCUUUAAUGCGACAAAAUAGUUUAUGAGUAUACUAUCUCACUUGUUUACAAUAUGUAGUCCAUACAAACUGUACUAAAAUAAAUUCAAACAAAAUCAGGACCUAAACAAACUAUUUUUGAUCAAAUUGAACAUUAGAACUUGAAGCCUCAUAGCAUCAAAUAGCAUUUGAGAACAAUCAUACGGAGAUAUACAAUGAGUAUGUUAAAAGAUGCUCAAAAGAGAACUGAGCCACACUUGGAGAAAAAGGUAAACAACCAGAUUUUACAGCCCCAUUUCGAGAACCCAGAACCCAGAACAGGCACACUAAAAAUCAUGACUGAGUGAACUACAGAGCAUCUUGAACAAACUAAAAGGAGACUCAAUUAACUUUAAGAAAACAGAUUAAAUCAUAUCAACUAAGAAGUUGAUACAAACUAGCAGCUCACUAUUUCAGUCACAACAACGCAUAACACUCUUGGUAUGAAACAAACAAGGAAAAAUUAAAGGUAAAGAGUUGCACCUCCCUCGGAGUGAUGAACUAGGGACAACGACGAAACCAGGAGCGACUUCAAACUGCAGAGCUCACUGUUCUGCCUACAACGCAUAACACUCUUGGUCUGAAACAAACAAGGAAAAAUUAAAGGUAAAGAGUUGCACCUCUCUCGGAGUGAUGAACUAGGGACAACGACGAAACCAGGAGCGACUUCAAACUGCAGAGCUCAUUGUUCUGCCUCUAAUGCCUAUUGCCUGAUAAUA